GCGAGGGAAAGGUGAAAAGCACCCCGGUGAGGGGAGUGAAAUAGUACCUGAAACCAUCUGCUAACAAGUCAGUCGGAGCCCCCUUGUGGGGUGACGGCCUGCCUUUUGUAUAAUGAGUCUGCGAGUUAUUGUCGGUAGCAAGCCUAAGCCGCUCAGCGGCGCAGGCGCAGCGAAAGCGAGUCCGAAUAGGGCGCUUAGUUGUCGGCAAUAGACCCGAAGGGGAGGUGAUCUAACCAUGGCCAGGAUGAAACUUCAGUAACAUGAAGUGGAGGUCCGAACCGGUCAAUCUUGAGAAAUUGUCGGAUGAGCUGUGGUUAGGAGCGAAAGACUAAUCAAACCCCCUGAUAGCUGGUUCUUUCCGAAAUAUAUUUGGGUAUAGCCUCGGGCGCUGAUUUGCGGAGGUAGAGCACUAAAUAAGCUAGGGCCCCUACCGGGGUACUGAACUUAAUUAAACUCCGAAUACCGUAGAGUGAAGCUCGGCAGUCAGACUGUGGGGGAUAACCUUCAUAGUCAAAAGGAGAAUAAUCCAAACCAUCAGUUAAGGUCCCAAAAUACGGCUCAGUGUAAAAGGAUGUGAUUUUGCUUAGACAAUGGGGAUGUUGGCUUAGAGGCAGCCAUCAUUUAAACAGUGCGUAACAGCUGACCCAUCGAGCGAAAUUGCGCCGAAAAUGAUCGGGACUUAAGCCGUAUACCGAAGCUAUGGCUGCCAUCGCAAGAUGGCGGGGUAGGAAAGCGUUCCAAAUGCAGCGAAGUGGAAGGGGUAACCGACCAUGGAGCGUUUGGAAGUGAGAAUGCAGACAUAAGUAACGAUAAAGAUGGUUAAAAUCCAUCUCGCCUCAAUUCCAAGGAUUCCUGGGGAAGGUUCGUCCUCCCAGGGUUAGUCGGGAGCUAAGACGAGGCCGUAAGGAGUAGUCGAUGCACAGCUGGUUCAAUAUUCCAGCACCACCUUAUUUGAGUUCGAUGCCAAGGAGUGACGGAGAAAGUUAACACGAGCGGGGCGCUGAUUUCCGUUCAAGUCCGUAGGUUAUUCGGGAGUAAAAUACCGGAUCUAUCUGAAAGACGAUGAAGAGCUGAGGCUACGGCCGAAGCGAUUCGUGUGAUACUCGGCUUCCAGGAAAAGCUUCGUGGCUAUUUGAUAGGGUGCCCGUACCGUAAACCGACACAGGUGGAAUAGAUGAGUAUUCUAAGGCGCGUGGGUUAAAUCUCUCUAAGGAACUCGGCAAACUGACCCCGUAUGUUAGCUAUAAGGGGUGCCUCGCAAGAGGCCACAGAUAAGAGUGUCAACCGACUGUUUAGCAAAAACACAGCUCUCUGCUAAGUCGCAAGACGACGUAUAGGGAGUGACUUGUGACCAAUGCGGAAAGGUGAAAGCCUGGGGUGCAAGCUCCGGGUCUAAGCCCCCGUGAAUGUCGGCCGUAACUAUAACGGUCCUAAGGUAGCGAAAUUCCUUGUCGGGUAAGUUCC
Molecule: ribosomal RNA, 1464 nt
Filed under: activated sludge metagenome
Description: bacterial LSU rRNA
Rfam family: Bacterial large subunit ribosomal RNA
Source: RNAcentral